Molecule: long non-coding RNA, 10138 nt
Filed under: Prunus persica (peach)
Lineage: Eukaryota; Viridiplantae; Streptophyta; Magnoliopsida; Rosales; Rosaceae
Description: long non-coding RNA (PPER_LNC005570)
Source: RNAcentral
AGAGAGAGAGAGAGAGAGAGAGAGAGAGAGAGAGAGAGAGAGAGAGGCAGGGUUUGCUUGUGUGGUUGUUGUUUAAGGCUUAAGGGAAAGGAAGGGAGGGAGUGAUGGAGAAGGGUGGCAAUUGGGGAGUGUGGUUUUAAAGUUUCAAGAGGGGGGGAUUGGGUUUGAACUUUGAAAUUCCAAGGGGUCUAGAGGCUUCGAAGGGGGUUAUGAAUUUUGAAGUACUUGUUUGGUGGCUUGAAGAAUAAGAAGAGAUUAACAAUGGUUGACCAAUGACCCUAAUUAAUUAAAGGCUCCAAGAAUGACAUGAGAAAGGGCUGCUGCUUUCUAGAAUGAUAGGAGCACAACUUUGGUUUUUCAUUUCAAUCCACUAUUGAAAUGACAAAGUUGCCACUAUUUUAAUCUUAAUUUUAAAAAACUGGUUCACUAAAUUUUUUUUAUGUUUUCUUUAUCUUGUCAAUGAGGAGAGACCCGACUGAGCAAGAAAAACAGUCCAUUAAAACAGUGGUCAGGUGAAAGAUGCCUGCAAUUUAAAGUUUUCUGGCUCUUAUAUUUAACUCUAAUUUUCAGAUUGCCUGAAGAAGACUAAUGCCAGGAAAGGAAAUCAUUUUUCCCACAUAAAAUACAACGGACACUGUAUAUAAUAUAUUAUAUCAAGGGCAUUGUAGUCAUUGCAAGUGAGAGGGUGUUGAUGUUUGGGCACUUUGGCUAUCCACAAAUAAAAUAUAGAACAGAUUAUGGGAAUUCUGGUCUUGUAAUUUCGUACGUACCACUUUUGUUUGAGUUCACAUGUUUGGUCAUCCUUCUUCUUCUUGCACGAAACUAGGAAAUUUCUUCAUGACCUAUUGACUACGUUGGCACGUAUAGCCUGCAGGAAACAUGAGUUACUUUAUGCGCUUCAAAUUUGGCAGAUAAUGAUGCAGUUGAGUAAAGUUUAAGUCAGUUAGCCAAAAUAAUAAGCUCGCUUUUUUAGUUACAUUAAUUUAAAAUAGUUAGACUACCGCUUGUAUAAAAAGAAAAAUACUUACAAAAUAUAAUAAGUCAAUGACAAAUUAAUAUGUCACCUGAAAUCCCCCAAAAUAUUCUUUCACCAAAAAAGAUUAAGAGGGCGUGUCAUCACUUGUGUCAUUUCUUCAGCAAAGAUUUGGGGGAUCCCUAUUCCCUCCUAAAACUAUAUGCACCUUGCGUGUGCUAUGCCACUACUAUUGAAUUAAUUAUGAUAAUGGCUCAUGUCCAUAUAUUUUUGUCCAAAAUAAUUAUGAUUUUUUCUUUCUUAUCCUUUUAUGAAGUUGGUGGAGCUAGACUUCUUUCCGCAGUCAAACAACAAAGAUAACCCCUAACACCUCCAAAAACCAUUUAUUUUUUAUUUUUGGGUUUGUGGAUUUCAAUUGUGAAGAGAAGGCUGGUAAUUAAUGGUUUAUUUGGUUUCAAGGGGACGAAAGACACAAAAUUGUAGGGUCCAAACAUGGUAUUAGCUCCAAGGGCGGCUUGGGACACAAGUUUUCUUAUGACGCGUAGCUGACCCAGCUUCCUCCUCUUUUACUAUGACUUUUUUCUUUUUCUUUCACAAAUAAUUAAUUAAACAUGCGCGUGCCACGUACCCUCUCAUUUGCUUAUUACCCUAAGAAAACUGACAAGGACAUAUUUGUAAUUAAGGGUAUAAUAAUCAAACAUAAGCAACUUGCUAAUAAGGGGCUUUGAACCUCAGUGCUUUUCAAAAGUGAAAGAUUGAAAGGGACACAAAUGAGAACAACGACGUUUGGAAACAAUCAUAGCUUAUUUCUCAAAAUUUUGGUCAUAAGAAACAUGCAAUCAGGUCAAUGCAAAUGUUUUCAAGCGCGGCCUUGGAUUUAAAGCAUAUUCCGACUUGGGUUUGAUCAACUCAAGGGAAUAAUCAUCAACCUCUUUUACGAACACAUUUACCAUAAUUGGCAAUUAUUUUGAUGUAUGUAUGAAUCCUACAAUGAGUAUAGACAGUAAAUAUAACACAUAUAUAAAUGAUUGACAAUUAAUCAUAUGUAUCAUAAUAAAUUCAGCAUUACAUAAUUAAUUUACAAUCAUUCAUACGCGAGCAAAGCUCAUACAAAAUAAAAAAUGAAAAUUUUGUUUUAAGACCAAGUUGGGGGAAACUUGAGUUAAGUACAUGCAUUAGUAAUAAUGUUAGAAUGACAUAUCCAUAAAAAUAAUAUUAUUAACUCACUGGGUUUAUAAGCAACCCGCUGCGGUUUUCAUGAUUUGAGUCACCAAUGACGUUGAGACAAUCUUGAAACGACAUGAAUGUAUUUUAUUAUUAAAAUGAACGUCACAUUUUCAAUAACUUAAUUAUUAUUAGGUAUCAAACUUUCCCAUCCAAAUUCCAAUGUCAACACGCAUAUGCUUAUGCUUAUAAUUUAUAAUAAACUCGCCUCCUUUGAUAAAGUGGUUAUUUAUUUAAUUAAAAAUUCAGAAAAAUAAAAGCUGUACAAUGUACAUGGUUCUUCUGGAUUAUUUUAGACCAUUAUUAUUAUUACGUGGGUUCGAGGCAGAAAAUUCUUCUUAUUAAGAGAGUCAAACUAUGAAUAUUGUGAGAACCUAAUUAAAUCAAACCCUAGGUCAAAUAAUUCCUACUAUUUGGGGAUUAUUUGACCAAAUUGGGAGUCAAUCAACUUAAUUAGGAGUUACUCAAUUUAAUUGGGAAUUAUCCAAUUAAAUUGAACGUUACCUAAUUAGGUUGAGAUUUGAUUUGGUUAAUUACCACGAUCCCCAAUUAAAUGAGAAGUUAUCUAAUUGAAUCGGGAUUUGAUUUGAUACCUACCACAAUUAGGGAUUUGAUUUACCCUAAUAAAUCAAAUCCCUAAUUAAUCAAAUCAAUCCCAAAAAGGGGAGGAAUAAUUCCCUUCCAUCUACAGAAUUAUUCCUCAGAAACCCUAGCCUCCGAGACUACUAUAAAAGCAUAGUCAUACACAAUGGUUGAGGUACGUCAGAAUUACUACUAAAAUCUCUGCAGAAAAUUCCUCUCAAACCCUAGCCACCUCCUCUCUUUCUCUCUUUUACAUAAGGCUCCGGCCGCCCGAUUUAUAUUAUAAACACAUCUCGUACCCUAAUUUAGCUAUCGUUUCUCUAAAGAUCGAUUGAACUGACUUAGGCAUCGGAGGGCCUUUGGCCAACACCCCCCGGGUGUGGUCUUUUACUCCGAUCUGUUUUGCAGGGAGAAAGAGAGGCGGAGAAGACGAAGGAAUCUUGGGCGAAUAUUCUCCCGUGAGAUUAUUUGCACAAACAAAUUGGUGCUUUCAUUGAGAGCGCGAGUUAUACUCAACGCGUGCUCAAGGAAUCCGUUCCUCCUAUUUUUCAAUCCGUCGAAGCCUUCCAAACAACCAUGGUUGGAAGCAUGAACACGAGAGGCAAAGCCGCCGCGAUGGCUAGAUCCGCGACGACCCAAAGCCACUCCACCCACGAUCCCGCGAUCGACAUGGUGGCACCGCCACCUCUCACCACCGCACCGGCCACCGCCGCCGAACAUGGCGGAACUUCCCAUCAAGGUGGACUCGUUACCACCGCCGACCUAGGGCCGAUCUUGGAGCAACUCCAAGCAUUCCCUCCAUUGCCUCCACGCGCGACGCACGCUCCUGCAUACACCGCCAAUGAAAACCGAGCCCGUGUGCAGUUGGGCUCCACACACUUCUCUCCUCCCGAUCCACGAAGUCAAGCAGACCUUAAUCUAAGAGUCGACCAGCUAGCUCAGAGAAUGGAUGACCAAAGCGACCUAAUGAGGCAGCUCAUCAACCAAAUAGGCUUUGCUCAAAACCUUGGCCUUGGACAACCGGGCGAGGAGAGAAGGAUGGACGAACGCGCCGGCAGACGACUCGACGUCCGUGCCCGUUUGGGCCCGCAGGGAAAUGUACAUCAAAGGCUAGGCCCUCAAGGAGUUCAGCCAAACAACCAUCGCAACGAGGAUCGCGAAGAAAGGCGCUCAGCUGUCAACUCACAGAGAAGCGCUCUCGAAAGGCUAGGCCCCCAGGGAGGCCAGUUGGACAACCCUCACAAUGAGGACCAUGAGGAAAGACGCUCCGUUACUCACUCUCGGAGAACCAAUUCUCGUCGACAAGCUACAGAGAAUCUUUCGCAGGCGCAGUCCACCAACACUCCAACUAGGCAGCCCAGGCGAGAAGGUCGACCCUCGGAGGACAAUGAGGAAGUCAGUCAAUAUCGUGGAGGUCGCCAACGUGACCGACCAGCAAUGUGCGCAGAAGACGUUGAGAAGCUCGUGAAUGACCGACUUCGAGACUUGAAGACCGGAGGAAACUUCGAGGAUUCACUACGUAAGGAGAUGGACCAGGUGAGCUCUACGCCUUUCACCCUCGAUAUCGAGCAGGCCGCUCACCCGAAGCGAUUCUCGACGCCCUCGUUCAUACACUUCAAAGGGGAUUCUGAUCCCGAGAGCCACUUAAAACACUUCAAAAGUGUUAUGAUCCUCCACCAGGCUGACGACGCGCUAAUGUGCAAGGUAUUUACGAUAACCUUGCGAGGAGCAGCCCAAGACUGGUUCCACACCCUACCAUCCAGGUCGAUCAGCAGCUUCAAGGAGCUAGCUUACGUCUUCACCAAAGAAUACACCUCUUACCGGACAAUCAAGAAGAACCCUGAUCACCUGUACAACCUGCGCAAGAAGUCUGACGAAUCCCUUCGAGAUUACAUCAAGAGAUUCAAGGCAGAAAAGGCGAACAUUGUAGGAUGUGACGACCGAAUCGCGUCCUCCGCUUUCAAGAAAGGUCUUCCAGCUGAGCACAACUUGUACCGCGAGCUGACUAUCACUCCCAGCCAGACUCUGGCAGAGGUCUACGCGACUGCGGAACGCUACGUGCUCUGGGAUGACGAUCGAAUCGCCGCAAAGAAGUCUACAAAGCAGGAAGAUCAGCCAACUAAGCGGGCAGGCCAAAAAGGCGACAAAUUCAACAACCGAAACAAAGACAGGCGCAGGUCGCGCCCACAAGGGGAGGCUACGGCAGGAGAGAACUACACAAAGUUCACCAUCCCCAUACAUCAAAUCUUAGCCCAAGUGAAGAACAAACCUUGGGUAAGAAGGCCACCACCCUUGAAGGGAGAUCCGGACAAGAGAGACACUAGCAAAUACUGUGCCUUCCACGGGACGCACGGACAUACGACGAACAACUGCUUCGCUUGGAAAGCGCAUCUUGAAGAACUCGUGAGAGAAGGCCACUGCACUGAAUUCGUUGCGAAGCAGGCCAUCCAACGGAUUGAAGAUCGAGACACCGCCAAGGAGCCGCCUCAGAAGGUCAUAAGGAUUAACACAAUCCUAGCCGACUCCGAGGAGUCUGGGCUGACCAGCAAGGAAAAGAAGAGGAAGAUCAAACAGGCCACUGUGAUCUCUCAAGUCUCGACCGACCUUCCACUAGCAGAAGACGAUCCUGUGAUCGGCUUCCAAAAGAAAGAUCUGAACGGCCUCGACAUGCCACAUAACGACGCCCUUGUCAUCAGCAUUCAAAUCGCUCAGGCCAUGAUCGACCGAAUCCAUGCAGAUGAGGGCAGCGCAGCCAAUAUCCUACAACUGGCGGUCAUCCAACAGAUGGGCUUGGAGACAAAGAUCAACAAGUUAGCUAGAUCGCUGACUGGCUUUAAUGGUGCGACAACGGUUACCGUAGGCACGAUAGACCGCGAUGUCUACUCCCCACCUGUGAUUAGCCUGCAAACAUUCAUGGUCAUUAAUGAGGUCUCACCCUACAACGGCAUCCUGGGCAGACCAUGGAUUGGCAAGAUCAAUGCCAUAACCUCCGCCACACAUCAAAAAAUUCGGUACCCAAUCCCUGGGGGCGGUGUCGGCCAAAUCAACAGCGAUCAAGCAAUGGCAAGGAAAUGCUCCGCCCAAGGGCUGAAGAAGGGCAAACAAGCUCAGUUUCUCCCUGUGAGCCAGGCAGAUCUGGAGGAGGUAGAGCAACCGAAUCUUGCUAUCUUAUAGCAAUCAAAGCGUCAGGACCAAGCCGAGGAAAUCCGUCCAAAGGUCUUUCCGGCAGAAGGAUGGAAACCCGAGGAGGACGUCGAGUUAAUACCCUUGGAUCCUGACCAGCCAGACAGGAAAGCGCGGAUCGGCUCGCGUUUAAGCCCAGAGGAGAAGGUGGAGCUUACCACAUUCCUCCAGAGCAACAAAGACAUGUUCGCAUGGUCGCCAUCAGACAUGCCUGGCAUCGACCCAAACAUCAUCUGUCAUCGACUCCACGUCAACCCCGCGUGCAAGCCAGUGGCGCAGAAGAGACGCAACUUCGCACCCGAGCGAGUCGCUAUCAUCGAAGCCGAGAUUGACAAACUCCUAGCUGCCGGCUUCAUCGAAGAGGUCUCCUACUCAGAAUGGCUUGCCAACGUUGUCUUGGUGGCAAAACAAGAAAAGGGCAAAUGGAGAGUUUGCGUCGACUACACAGACCUCAACAAGGCAUGCCCUAAAGACAACUUCCCAUUGCCGAGAAUCGACCAACUCGUGGAUUCCACUUCUGGAAAUCAGCUGCUCAGCUUCAUGGACGCCUACUCCGGCUAUAACCAAAUCCUGAUGCACGAAGAUGACAAGGCGAAAACUUCUUUCAUCAUCGAGAGAGGGACCUACUGCUACAAGGUCAUGCCCUUUGGGCUGAAGAACGCCGGAGCAACCUAUCAAAGGCUUGUAAAUAAAAUCUUCAAGGAGCAGAUCGGCAAAACUAUGGAGGUCUACGUGGAUGACAUGCUGGUCAAAGCCCCAAAACGUGCAGAUCACAUUGGAAAUCUUGCUGAGUCAUUCAGCUUGCUCCGCCAGUAUCGCAUGAAGUUGAAUCCAAGUAAAUGCACGUUUGGUGUAUCCUCUGGCCGAUUCUUGGGAUACCUAGUCACGCAACGAGGUAUUGAGGCACACCCACGUCAAAUCAAAGCCAUUCUCGAGAUGAAAUCGCCCUCCACGGUGAAGGAAAUACAAAGUCUGACGGGCAGAGCAGCGGCCCUCAACCAAUUCCUCUCGAGAUCAACUGACAAGUGCAGACCAUUCUUCAAAGCUUUGAAGAAAGGACAAAGAGACAAAUGGGACGAGGAGUGCGAAAUAGCUUUCCAGAGUCUGAAGACUUACCUCGCCUCACCUCCUCUGCUCUCAAAACCAGUCCCUGGUGAGGACUUGUUUGUAUACCUGGCAGUGUCCAACUCAGCUAUUAGUUCAGCUCUCAUCCGAGAAGAGCUGGGGGCCCAACAUCCGGUAUUCUACACGUCAAAAGCUCUCCUCGAUGCAGAAACUCGCUACCCGAAGUUGGAGAAACUUAUUUUGGCUCUUGUAGUUUCUGCGAGAAAGCUGCGACCCUACUACCAAGCUCAUCGAGUCAUCGUCAUGACCGACUUUCCUUUGAGAUCAAUCCUCCACAGCCCUGAUGCUUCUCAGCGACUCAUGAAGUGGGCUAUAGAGCUAAGCCAAUAUGACCUCCUCUACCGGCCAAAAACUGCAAUAAAAGCCCAGGCUUUAGCAGACUUCGUCGUAGAAUUCACCCCGUCAGCCGAAAAAGAGAAGUUGGUCAACCAAAAGAAGGAAAGUUCAGAAGCAGACGGGACCUCCGAAGAACCUAUCCAACCCAGAAACAUGUGGCAGUUGCGCGUAGACGGAGCGUCGAACCAAAAAGGAGCUGGAGCAGGAGUCGUCAUCACCACUCCGGAUGGAACCCUGUUGGAGCAAGCUAUUACGCUUGGCUUCUCGGCCUCGAACAACGAGGCAGAAUACGAGGCAUUGCUCGCCGACCUACGCUUGGCAAAAGAGCUCGCAAUCAAAAAGCUAGCCAUCUACUCAGACUCACAAUUGAUCACAAAUUAAGCCUCAGGGGAAUACAUGGCAAAGCACCCAAGGAUGAUCUUGUACCUUGACAAAGUCCAAGAGCUGUUGAAGGCAUUUCCCACCUUCACCAUCCAACAAGUGCCUCGGGCAGAGAACGCUCAUGCAGACGCACUGGCAAGCCUAGGAUCAGCGCUGGAUACCCAGUUCAGACACUCCAUCCCGGUCGAACACCUUGACCGACCAAGCAUUGAAGAAAUAGAGCUAAUCGAUACCAUGCAGAUUGACGAGGACUCCAGUUGGCAAGACCCCCUUAUCGACUAUUUGACGAAUGGAAACCUGCCAACGGACAAGUCCGAAGCUAGAAAGGUCCAGCAGAAGGCCGCGAGAUACUACAUGCACGGCAACAAGCUCAUCCGCAGAUCAUACUCUGGCCCUCAUCUCACCUGCAUAAAGUACCCUCAAACACUUGAGGUUCUCUGCAAAAUUCACGACGGCGAGUGUGGCAACCACUCUGGGGGCAGGUCACUCGCCCAGAAGGCUCUAAACGUAGGCUAUUUCUGGCCUACUAUGCGCCAUGACUCUACUGAAUAUGUCAAAAGAUGUGAUCGCUGCCAACGGUACAAACCAGUUCCUAGUCUGCCUGCCGAAAUCUACCAUCCGCAGAACAGUCCGUGGCCUUUCAUGCAAUGGGCCAUCGACUUAGUAGGCCCCAUGCCAACGGCACCUGCCAAGAAAGAAAUGAUGAUCGUCGCCACUGAUUACUUUACUAAAUGGAUCGAGGCCGAAGCUCUAUCCUCUACUAAAGAAGAUGAUGUGGAACGAUUUAUCUGGAGAAAUAUUAUCUGCCGGUUUGGCUGCCCAAUCACUAGUCACCGACAAUGGCUCGCAAUUCAUCGGCAAGCAGAUCACUGCCUUCUACAAAAAGUACGGCAUCAAGCAGCAUUUAUCUACCCCAAGAUAUCCUCAAGGCAACGGCCAGGCCGAGGCAUCCAAUAAAAUAAUAUUGGACUGUCUAAAGAAGAGAUUAGAAGGCGCCGAAGGAAAAUGGGUAGAUGAGCUCCCUGGCGUACUAUGGGCUUAUCGCACCACCAAGCGAAGAUCAACUGGCGAAACCCCGUUUUCCCUCGCCUAUGGAACUGAAGCGAUCAUUCCUCCUCACAUCACUGUCCCUUCUAUAGGCAUCGAAGUGGGCAGUAUUGAGCAGAACUCCGAGCAGAUGAGACUCAACCUUGACUUACUUGAAGGCGAGCGCGAGAAGGCCAUUGUCCGAGUCGCCUCCUAUCAACAGCGGUUGAAGUCUUACUACGACAAAAGAGCCAAGAUCAGACAAUUUCAACCAGGCGACCUUGUCCUAAGAAAGGCCUUCAUCACUGCACAAAGACAAGGAUCUAAAAAGAUGAAACCCAAUUGGGAAGGCCCUUACAUAAUCAGCCGGUCCGGGGGCAGAGGAAGCUAUACGCUUGACACCAUGGAAGGGAAGGAGAUUCCGCGACAAUGGAACGCCUACCAUCUCCAAAGAUACUAUCCAUGACGCUUCCUCCUACCUGCUCAGUCCCCAGCAGACGACUGAGUACUGCACAUUUCUGAAAAAGAGAAGCAACUACUGCAAAUUCCAGAAUGUGCCACAACAAAAGACAGUUGCCCAUAAGGAGCGUCCUAAGGGAGACGCAGGGUGACGACAAAACGCGUCCGUUUGGAGACGUAGCCCGCUAAAAAAGCGUCCUAAGGGAGACGCAGGUGCGCCAGAAUUUCCUAAGGAGAUAUCCAGGUUCCUAUCCGUUUCCUAGGAGGCAGGAUAGUCACACAGUUGCCAUAGAGCGUCCUAAGGAGACGCAGUGACGACAAACGCGUCCGUUGGAGACGUANNNNNNNNNNNNNNNNNNNNNNNNNNNNNNNNNNNNNNNNNNNNNNNNNNNNNNNNNNNNNNNNNNNNNNNNNNNNNNNNNNNNNNNNNNNNNNNNNNNNUACUAAUUUUGCUUUUGAGAGAGAGAGAGAGAGAGAGAGAGAGAGAGAGAGAGAGAGAGAGAGAGGCAGGGUUUGCUUGUGUGGUUGUUGUUUAAGGCUUAAGGGAAAGGAAGGGAGGGAGUGAUGGAGAAGGGUGGCAAUUGGGGAGUGUGGUUUUAAAGUUUCAAGAGGGGGGGAUUGGGUUUGAACUUUGAAAUUCCAAGGGGUCUAGAGGCUUCGAAGGGGGUUAUGAAUUUUGAAGUACUUGUUUGGUGGCUUGAAGAAUAAGAAGAGAUUAACAAUGGUUGACCAAUGACCCUAAUUAAUUAAAGGCUCCAAGAAUGACAUGAGAAAGGGCUGCUGCUUUCUAGAAUGAUAGGAGCACAACUUUGGUUUUUCAUUUCAAUCCACUAUUGAAAUGACAAAGUU